UACGAGGGGGGCGAGCGUUGUUCGGAAUUAUUGGGCGUAAAGGGUGCGUAGGCGGUUUGGUAAGUCUCUUGUGAAAUCUAUGGGCUCAACUCAUAGUCUGCAAGGGAAACUGCCGGGCUUGAGUGUGGGAGAGGUGAGUGGAAUUUCCGGUGUAGCGGUGAAAUGCGUAGAUAUCGGAAGGAACACCUGUGGCGAAAGCGGCUCACUGGACCACAACUGACGCUGAUGCACGAAAGCUAGGGGAGCAAACGGG
This 253-nucleotide ribosomal RNA is filed under the name uncultured bacterium. Its description in RNAcentral is "partial 16S ribosomal RNA". It matches the Rfam family "Bacterial small subunit ribosomal RNA", at positions 524 to 776 of the family's 1533-position model. The record is from RNAcentral.